UUUCAAAACAUGCGGAUUCAGGUUUAUUAAACUUGGGUCCAUUUUGGAAAGAAAGCCAGGAAACCUUUUGCCCUCCAUUUAUGUCUGAUGUACCUGCUUAUCUGAGCUGUGUCCCAGCGCCACCUUUGUGCAGAGGGCGCAGAUGGCAGACUGGACUUUGUAUUUUAACUGAAUCCAACUGAAACAUGGAUGACCAUCGGAUAAGAGGUUAUGGAUAAACUUAAGAGAUCCACAGUGAUCUGGAGGAAGCAAUUCCUGUAUGUGAAAGACGCAGUGGCAGGGAGCAGAUUUUCAGCCAUUGUGAGGUGCCCAUAUCAUGUGCAUGAUCUUCUGGGCGUAUCUCAAGAGUCUUCAUCAGCCUGCUUUAAUUUCCUCUCUAAUCAUUUAGCAUUGGCUCUGUUGAUGGGUGAUCAGGUAUGUUUAUUUCCUGGCCUCAGUUUGACAUAUUGGAUAUUUGCUCAUUGGCAAACAACAUAACCACUAUGCUGCUUUUCUUCUACACAGAACAAUGCCGGAAGACCAAAUUGGUUAACCACAAAAAGAAUGUUCAUGUGUAUUCUGUAUAUGUAAGUCUAUGCUUUUAACUUCAGCCUGUUUAAAGAAGUUUGAAAAGUUAGCUGCGUUUCCAUUACAAAUGUGCACAAAACGCUGUCGAUAUUCUGCUAAUGUUGAAAAAACACAAUUUCUCAAUUGCAGUGUUUCCCUUAAAUGCCAUUAAAUGCAAUUAAAAUCACACGCGCAAUACCAUCAUCCUCCUACUACUUUCUGUCGUCUUCUUCAUCUUUUUCGGCAGUAGUAACAUCUGGUUGUUGAUCAUGUGACUCGUGUCAUGUGAAAAAAGUGUUUUUAUUGCAGUUUUGCGAAAUACACCAAUUACGAUAAAUCCAAAAAACCACAUCACCCUUGCACAAAAACAUUUAAUCAAAAAACAGGAGUUUUUUCAAAAUUGUCUUGUUUCCAUUAAGUUCAUUUGUUUUCGUAACUUGUGCAAUUUGUUGGUCAGUGGAAACGCAGCUAGUGAUUGCAUGGAAUAAUAAAACAAACAUGAUGAAGAAACUUGGAUAAACAUGCCAACUGGAUCAGUUUUUUCCUGACUGCAACAUUAUAGCUUUAGAAAGCAGACAUGCCUGUUUAAAUUUUUUGUUUCCAAUAGCAACUUCCUCGACCCUUAGCCAAUCGCAUUUCAGCAGCCUGAGUUGCCGUAGCCAGUAAUGGAGUUUACAAUCACUUAUCAUGGGCAUAAAUGUUAUAAAUCUAUUCAAUAAUUUCGAAUAGUUCAACUAAACCAUUCUUUUUUCAAGGUAGAAUGAUCAUCCAAGCAACAACUUCAUUGAAUUUUAAAUACAACAUAAGGGUGGACAAGUUUGAAUUUUGUGUGGAUUUUCAUUAAUCCAAAAAGAGUGAUAAUUGUAUAUAAAUUGUCCAGAUUUGUACCACCUCCACACUCAUAAUUCUGGUUGGAUUUUUGACUUCUCAUCUUGAUAGAAUUGGUAGAGAUUAUUUAAAUUGGUUGGAUUCCUGCCAGACCUGGCUGUUACAGUCCAAAUAAUGUUGGUAAGCGUUCUCAGUCAUCCAGGACAUGACAAUAAAAGGCAGUUUGGCUUCUUGUCUUGUUUCUUAAACACGUUUGAACAUCACACUGAUAUGGUUGUUAAGGUCAAUAGUAGGGUUGUUAAGAUCAUAUGAGUCAUUGGCUUCUCCCUCUAUUUGUUUCAGUGUUAAGACAGUGUUACUUUUAAUGUAAACAUGUCUUCUAACAAUCCCUACAUGAGAGUAGUUUCAGUCACAUCUCGUAAGGUGUAAAUGGUUGCACAACCAGUAGGCUGUAGGUGUUAGAAAGACAAAACCUGAGGCCAUCUCCUCUACUAAUGUUGGUUAUUCAUGCUUAAUAUCUACUUGUCUUCAGGAACCAAAAGAAAAAGUCAAAUUGCCUUCUUUUUAAGCACAUCAUAGUUUCCCAAAUAGCAUUUGAACUUUAGGAAGGUAAUUUUAAAAACUUCAUGCUAGCCUAAUUUAUCAAUUCCAAAAACAUGACAGUGUGUGUUGUAUUGGAAUACCCAACUGUGUCCAAGUUUCAACCAUAUGACCCAAGUUGUCACCCUCAGAUAAAAGAAAACUGGUCAGGAUAUUUAAUAGCAAUUCAGGAACCAACAAUGCUCCAAGCUGCCAUAAAAUAGAAGCUGCUUAGACAACAUUGUUGCUGUCCAUUCUGAAUUAAGUUUACCUAAGAACACUGUACCAACUGUCAAGCAUGGUGGUGGUAGCAUCAUACUGUGGGAUUAUUUCACUGCCAGUUGUAAUGCUACAUUGCAGAAAGCGGACAGUGAAAAAUAACUACCUCCAAAUUCUUUACACUGUUGAAAGUUGGACAGAAUUGGGUGAUUCUGCGGGACAAUUAGUCCAAACGCACAUAGGAACUUUUCUUAAAAAAAUAAGACAGGUUAAGCAAAUGGUUCGGAGCUGAGUGUAAAGCAGCAGGGAUGAGGAUCAGAUCCUCCGCGUCCGAGACCAUGGUUCUUGACCGGAAACGGAUGGCUUGCCCUCUUCAGGUUGGAAGGUAGUGCCAGCCUCAAAUGUAGGAGUUCAAGUAUUUCUGGGUCUUGUUCACGAGUGAGGGGAGAAUGGAGUGGGAGAUCGACAGACAGAUAAGUGUGGCCAUGGCAGUAAUGUGGACACUGCACCGAUCCUUUGUGGUGAAGAGAGAGCUGAGUCAUAGGGCAAAGCUCUUGAUUUACUGAUCAGAGACCAUUCCAACCAUCACCAAUUGGCAUGAACUUUGGGUCAUGACUGAAAAAAACGAGAUCCUGGAAACAAGCUGCUGAAAUGGGCUUCCUCAUUCCAGGGUGGCCAGGCACUCCCUUAGAAUUAGGGUAAGGAGCUCAGCGUCUGGGAGGAGCUCGGAGUAGAGCCGCUGCUCCUUCACUUCGAGAGGAGUCAGUUGAAGUGGCUCCACCCCUUGUACG
Molecule: long non-coding RNA, 2963 nt
Organism: Girardinichthys multiradiatus
Lineage: Eukaryota; Metazoa; Chordata; Actinopteri; Cyprinodontiformes; Goodeidae
Exons: 5
Source: RefSeq, a predicted model, not a curated record